RNAcentral lists this ribosomal RNA (253 nucleotides) under uncultured bacterium. Its description in RNAcentral is "partial 16S ribosomal RNA". It matches the Rfam family "Bacterial small subunit ribosomal RNA", at positions 524 to 776 of the family's 1533-position model. The record is from RNAcentral.
UACGUAGGGUGCGAGCGUUAAUCGGAAUUACUGGGCGUAAAGCGUGCGUAGGCGGCUAUGUAAGACAGAUGUGAAAUCCCCGGGCUCAACCUGGGAACUGCAUUUGUGACUGCAUGGCUAGAGUACGGUAGAGGGGGAUGGAAUUCCGCGUGUAGCAGUGAAAUGCGUAGAUAUGCGGAGGAACACCGAUGGCGAAGGCAAUCCCCUGGACCUGUACUGACGCUCAUGCACGAAAGCGUGGGGAGCAAACAGG